This 1553-nucleotide long non-coding RNA is filed under the name Homo sapiens (human). Its description in RNAcentral is "HSALNT0081462". The record is from RNAcentral. Lineage: Eukaryota; Metazoa; Chordata; Mammalia; Primates; Hominidae.
UUUCGCCCUUGUUGCCCAGGCUGGAGUGCAAUGGCGCCAUCUCAGCUCACUGCAACCUCCACCUCCCGGGUUCAACCAAUUCUGCCUCAGUCUCCCAAGUAGCUGGAAUUAGAGGUGCCCGCCACCAUGCCUGGCUAAUUUUUAUAUUUUUAGUAGAGACGGGGUUUCACCAUGUUGGCCAGGCUGGUCUUGAACUGCUGACCUCAAGUGGUCCACCCGCCUCGGCCUCCCAAAGUGCUGGGAUUACAGGCAUGAGCCACUGCUCCCGACCUGCAAUUCUUGCUAUGAGUUAAUAAAGGGAUCCAGUAACUGCUCCCAGGGAAAGGAUAUCAGGCUUCAGUUGCCCUUUGUGAAAAUAAGACUGUGGGGGAUCAUGCAGAAGAGGGAGCAAAGGACAAUCCCCUAGAUGGACAAGAGAGUGCAUGACUGUGAGGAAGAGGUUCACCGAGGCUCAGCUGCGAUUGAUUCCCCCACGCUCAUCUCAAACUCUCUUAAGCAAACUUUCAGCCCCAGAUGCUUACACAGAGAUAUUUUUCAGCCUCGAUUCACUUCAUCCCUCAAGCUUGACCUGCAGCUGACAGCUAGUAGUAACUGUAAGCCACAUGAGCGAACAAUCUAGGCCAUCCAGCCCAGAAGAACAUUAAGAUGACUGCAGCUCCAGCCAACAUCCGGCUACAGCAACCUACGAGAAGCCAAAUAAGAGCAGCGUAGCUCAGUCCUCCCAGAAUUUGGGACCCAGAAAAUAAAAGGGAAACUAAACAGGUAAACAAGUUGUUGUUUUACAACACUGUGUUUGAGAGUAAUGUGUUAUGCAGUAAUAGGCAAGAAAGUCUUGUUCCUCUCGUGUGUCCUUUUGGGUUUUUACUUGGGAGCCUGGUAUAAUCGGUCUCUCCGAUUUUAAGGAUGACAGACUUCGCACCUCUAUCCUGGAGAAUUUAACAUCUCCCACUCUGAUACAGUUUGGAUGCGUGUCCCCUCCAAAUCUCAUGUUGAAAUGUGAUCCCCAGUGUUGGAGGCGGGGCCUAGUGGGAGGUGUUUGGGUCAUGGGUGUGGAUCCUUCAUGAAUGGCUUGGUGCUGUCCUCAUGACAAUGAGUUCUCACCAUACAUCUUUUUCUUUUUUUGAGUGUGUAACAUCUCCCCAGGUCCCCUUGCUCCUGCUCUCCCAUGUGCGUGCCUGCUCCCUUUGCCUUGCACCAUGAUGAGACCUCACCAGAAUCAGAUGCUGGAGCUAUGCUGGCACAGCCUGCAGAAUCAUGAGCCAAUUAAACCUCUUUUCUUUAUAAAAUUCCCUAGCCUCAGGUAUUUCUUUACAGCAGUGCAAGAAAGGCCUAACACACACCCCAUCCAGCUUCAAGAAUCAGAAAAAUGCUACACCUGGUCUGGUCAACAUCAGUUACUCUCAUAAAGGAAAUUAAACCAUGUUGAUGGAUGGAUGAACCAAAAGGAAAAGAGAUCAAUGACACAGAUUAAUUUGCUUCUGAAGAAUAUUUUUCAUUGUGUAUAAUAUGCUGUGGAAUAUGAGUAUAGCAGGUUCUGGAAUGAGCUUGUGUUA